Non-coding RNA from Delphinapterus leucas (beluga whale), 2080 nucleotides. The record is from RefSeq and is a predicted model, not a curated record. Lineage: Eukaryota; Metazoa; Chordata; Mammalia; Artiodactyla; Monodontidae.
GCCACAACAGUGAGAGGCCCGCGUCCCGCAAAAAAAAAAAAAAAGCAAGCCCCCUUUCUUUCUCCUGCGAGCAGGGAUGUUGCUUCGGCUGAGCCAGGAUGAAGUUCUUGGUGGAUGGGAGUGGGCAGCGACCUUCGAUGCGGGAAGGGACUGCCGGCAAAAAUGGAGGGGAAGCCCCCAUAUUCCAGCUCACUGGGACAGGGCUCCCGGGUGGGAGCAACUUGAGGGACCUGAAGUCUGGCUACUCCGCCUCUUUCCCUGUGUGCAGCCAAAGAGGAGUGGGAUUCGAGGGGUGACCAAGAAAUCCACUGCUCUUGCCUCACCUGCAAGGCGCCCCCCCCCCCCCCGCCCCCAGUCUCCUCCAGCUCGCAAACUCCGUCCAUCCUCCAGGCUGAGUUCUGAGGCUGCAGUGACUCAGCCAGGCCAGCAGGUGUCAGCAAAGGCCCAGGGCCUGGGUAGGGCUCCGGAGGGUCAAAGCUUCGCGCCCCUCCCCACCUCCGGUUGCCUCUGGCUUCUCCGGGCCGCCCACCGCCCAAACUUCUUCAUGUAUAACGUUCUCCCUAGUCGGCUAGAGGAGGCUCAGACUGUCCUCCUUCUAGGACCCCAGAGCUGCCCCAGGCUCCUGAUGCCCUCUCCUCUUGCAGGGCCGCCUCCUCCCCACUCGCUCUUUCGGCGUCUCUGCUCCGGACCCAGCCUCAUCCUGAUCUCCAUCGGCCUUAGCCUCCUGCUGCUGGUGGUUGUCUGUGUGAUCGGAUCCCAGAACUCCAAGCUGCAGGAGGAGCUGCGGGCCCUGAGAGAAACGUUCAGCAACCUCACAGUGAGCACGGAGGCCAAGGUCAAGGCCCUGAGCGUCCAGGGAGGAAAUGUGGGCAGAAAGAUGAAGUCCCUGGAGUCCCAACUGGAGAAACAGCAGCAGGACCUGAGUGAAGAUCACUCCAGCUUGCUGCUCCACGUGAAGCAGUUUGUGUCUGACCUGCGAAGCCUGAGCUGUCAGAUGGCCGUCCUCCAGGGCAACGGCUCUGAAAGGACCUGCUGCCCGGUGAACUGGGUGGACUUUGAAGGCAAAUGCUACUGGUUCUCUCGCUCGGGGAAGCCCUGGCCCGAGGCUGAGAAGUACUGCCAGCUGGAGGACGCCCACCUGGUGGUGGUGGGCUCCUGGGAGGAGCAGAAAUUUAUCCAGCACCACAUGGGCCCUGUGAACACCUGGAUGGGCCUCACUGACCAAAACGGGCCCUGGAAAUGGGUGGACGGGACAGACUAUGAGUCGGGUUUCAAGAACUGGAGACCAGAGCAGCCGGACGACUGGUAUGGGCACGGGCUCGGAGGAGGUGAGGACUGUGCCCACUUCACGGACGACGGCCGCUGGAACGAUGACGUCUGUCAGAGGCCCUACCGGAAUUUGACAACAUGAAUAAAUGUGUGAGAAUAACCUGCAGGAGAAAACCCAACAAUCAGGGAACUUGUCCUAUCAGAUAUUAAAAUAGAAGAUCAACAGUUUGGAGCAGCAUUUGAGGAUCCACUCAACCUCCAAGGUGACACAUCUUGGAACAAUUCUGUCAAUGACCUUGCUUCUUACUUCACUGAGAAAAUGUCUGGUCUGAUGAGAAGCCCCCCCACCCCGCCCCACCGACCCAUACUCCGUGGUGGAGACCACCUGGAUCGGCACUGAUCUCAUCUCCUCUCACCGAUCGUGGGGGAAUUCACACCCCAGCCUCCCUUGGAGCUUGCCAGAUGGAAGGGAUCCUAAGGAGGCCCUGACGGACAGCAGAGCCGAGGCUGGCAGGGGCCUGGACCCCUAAGCCGCCCCACUGAGGAAACCUGUCCUCCUGUGUACUGUGAUGUGAGUGAGAAACACGCUUUGUGAUGCUAAACCACCGAGAUGGGUGUUACAGCAGCUAAGGAGACACUCACUUUCCCACCUCCAGGUACCAACUCCCAUGCCUGCAUCUCCACCCACACACCUCUCCUUCCCUUUUGUUAAUGGCGGUGGAGCCUCUCUGCUCCUAUCAAAGACCCUGGAGCCCACACCUCCUCACUGAUUCCAGGGCUUCCCUCCCCUCUGCACCCAUGAGUUUUCUCU